CUUACUGUUAAUUUUAGGAGAUAUAUGUAAAAUAACAUCUCAUUUUUGCUAUGUAUCAUUUCACUGUUAAAUAACACCCCAUUUUUGUUAUUUAACACCUCAUUGUUAAAUAACGUCUUAUUUUUGUUAUUUAACACCUCAAUGUUUUCUGUUCAUACGCGAAUGUCUUUGUUAUCGUGGGUAUAAUAGUCUUUUUUACCCUAUUAAAACACUCCGGAUUUUACUCGAGACGACAUUUAUUGAGUAACUGCGCUCCGAAUGUGUGUGUGUCUCCUGUUCUUUUUGAAACCGGUGUAAAUAUCCGUAUGACACGCAGCACGGCAGGCGCCACUUUAUUUGGCGGCACUAUUUGAAAUAACAUGUUCAUACUGUAUUUUUUUGCAUCCUGUGAAGUAACGUUAGCGUAGAAGGCGGCAUUUUAACCAGCAACGAACACGGAGAACCAUGUCGGAAGAUCGCGGUCAUUGACCAAAAUCACAAAAAUCAGAUGCUGAUCACACUGCUGUUCAAGAUAUCCAAGGAUUUAUAUCUCAGAACCAGGAGGAAAUUUGAAUGGUUUCUUACUUGCUUAAAGAAUGAGACGUUUUAUCUACAUACACAGAGGGUCCCCUUACAUGGAAGCCGCCAUUUUGUGCAGCCAUGUUUCUACAGAAGUCCUUACAGACAAACUUUUUUACUAAGUUGUCUCCGACAAUGGCAUGUUUGUCCGGUAGCGGCUACAGUAGCUUCUCUGUGUGUUACAAAAGCAAGAGGGAUAUGCCAUUGCAGCUGACCUUGAGAGUUCACUCUCUAUACCUGCAACUCCUCGUCUGAUACUUCUUGGAGAAACGAGAAGCCGCUUCCAGUGCUGGAUGCUCAGCCUUGAGGGCCAAAUUUGCGAAGGGAUCCAGUCCACCUUUGUGACAGGGCUUGCGUCUUUAACCAAGAGCAGGCAGCCUGCACGCUUGAAUUCAUCCAGAGACACGUUGAGGGUAUAAACCCAGAAAAAGGGACAAAUGCUGCAAAGGGGGAGCAAGCUCAUGGACUUUCAGUGGGAUUUCAUUUGAAAAUUGUGAAUAAGAACCCAAGACUUCGCAAAGAAUCCUCAUUGUGUGCUUUGAGAAAAUGGUUAGUGGUCUAAGCAGUGACACUGUUUUUUUAUUUGUUUAUUUUGUUUAUUGUUCUUUAUUGAUGAUGAGUUAAGUAUCAGUUUGAAUGUAUUCAUACAUGUUGAAUUUUAGUGGUUUAGGUAACACUAUGUUUUGAGGGUCAGAAAUUUUUAUAAUGAACAAUGUAUUUGGGUGUAAAAUGAAUUUGCUACUUUUUAAGCUAUGAACAUGAGAAAAUGAGAUUUGAUUGUGAUUAAUCUGAGCCUAUGUGUAACAUUUUUAUGUGACCAGGAGUCAAGAGUGUAUAUCCUUGGUUUGAGUCUUUUUAUUAGAAUUUUAGCAAUUCAUGGAACAUUAAAAAUCGAGGUUUAGGGCCCUAUCUUGCACUGACACAGUGCAAAGCCAAACGCAAGUGUCUCUGCUAGUUUAAGACAGACGCAGUUGUUAUUUUCCAUCCAGCGACCACUGUCAGCAAUGAACAUGAUAUACAAUAUAUUUCUGUGAUUUGUCUGAUUCAUGUGUGCCUUCAUUUGUAAGUAUUUACCUUUCAGUGUUUGUAUUACAAUAAAAAAGUAAAUUUCAA
Molecule: non-coding RNA, 1671 nt
Organism: Misgurnus anguillicaudatus (oriental weatherfish)
Lineage: Eukaryota; Metazoa; Chordata; Actinopteri; Cypriniformes; Cobitidae
Source: RefSeq, a predicted model, not a curated record